CUUAACACAUGCAAGUCGAGCGGGGAAAAGUAGCUUGCUACUUUACCUAGCGGCGGACGGGUGAGUAAUGCUUAGGAAUCUGCCUAUUAGUGGGGGACAACAUUUCGAAAGGAAUGCUAAUACCGCAUACGUCCUACGGGAGAAAGCAGGGGACCUUCGGGCCUUGCGCUAAUAGAUGAGCCUAAGUCGGAUUAGCUAGUUGGUGGGGUAAAGGCCUACCAAGGCGACGAUCUGUAGCGGGUCUGAGAGGAUGAUCCGCCACACUGGGACUGAGACACGGCCCAGACUCCUACGGGAGGCAGCAGUGGGGAAUAUUGGACAAUGGGGGCAACCCUGAUCCAGCCAUGCCCGCGUGUGUGAAGAAGGCCUUUUGGUUGUAAAGCACUUUAAGCGAGGAGGAGGCUCCCCAGUAUUAAUACUACUGGAGAGUGGACGUUACUCGCAGAAUAAGCACCCGGCUAACUCUGUGCCAGCAGCCCGCGGUAAUACAGAGGGUGCAAGCGUUAAUCGGAUUUACUGGGCGUAAAGCGUGCGUAGGUGGCCAAUUAAGUCAAAUGUGAAAUCCCCGAGCUUAACUUGGGAAUUGCAUUCGAUACUGGUUGGCUAGAGUAUGGGAGAGGAUGGUAGAAUUCCCAGGUGUAGCGGUGAAAUGCGUAGAGAUCUGGAGGAAUACCGAUGGCGAAGGCAGCCAUCUGGCCU
Molecule: ribosomal RNA, 699 nt
Filed under: Acinetobacter sp.
Lineage: Bacteria; Pseudomonadati; Pseudomonadota; Gammaproteobacteria; Moraxellales; Moraxellaceae
Description: bacterial SSU rRNA
Rfam family: Bacterial small subunit ribosomal RNA
Source: RNAcentral